AAUAUUCCAUUUUCUUCACGUGCUCAAAUUUGCUAAGCUAGUUCCUGAUUGUGGGAUACAUGGUUGGGCUCACAUAUUUUCCCACCGAUAGACAAGAGAUUACCAGAAAAGGGGUGAGGAAUCCAGAGAGAAUGUCUGCAUAAGAAGGAGGGUGGAGAUUUCUUACUGAACUAAAGGCUUCAAGAAUUGGCAAAUACCUGCUCAACUUUUGUAUUUCUGAUGACUGGAUGACUCCACCUGGACCCGAGACUCAUGACUCACCCAGUCCUGUGGCCCCACCCAGAAGUGGACUCAGAGCAAGAGGACCAUUUUCCACACCCCAAUGAGUGCAUCCCCAACCAAUCAGCAGCACCUGUUCCCUAGCCCCCUGACCACCAAACUCUCCUUGAGAAACCGUAGCCUCCAAAUUUUCUGGGAGGCUGAUUUGAGUAAUAAUAAAACUUUGGUCUCC
This 451-nucleotide long non-coding RNA is filed under the name Homo sapiens (human). RNAcentral's name for it is "HSALNT0336177". Lineage: Eukaryota; Metazoa; Chordata; Mammalia; Primates; Hominidae. The record is from RNAcentral.